GUAAAAGUGAUAGACUGGAGGGCGGAACUAAUCUUGUGUCUGGGUUUCUGUCUGGGAGGAAAAAGAAGGUGAACUGGGGAACAACAGGAAGUUGCCACUUACGGGAAAACCCAGCAUAAUUCUUUCAACAAGUUGUCACCAACAUGGAUAGUGUGUUGAACUGAUGUAUCUACAAAGCCAGGGAGGCAGCCGGUUUUUCACCUAUGACUGACUAUGGCCGAAAAGAAGAUUAAAGGAAAAAAAAGGAAAACAAAAGAUCUGCCUGGUCAUUGAGUGAAACCCGGGAAAUUAAAAUCUGGGAGCGAUGACCUGGAGUCCUGGGAAAAGGGAAUAAUUAGUGCAAAGAGAAAAUUCGGAGAAUCCCUCAAAUUGCAUGUGCCAUUCCCAUUAGUAAAUAAACCCCAGUUGAGCACUGAGCAUACAAGAAUGGCAGACCAAGCUGCUGGGAAGUCAGUUGAACAGCUCAAAGGAGUGAGGACAACAGCUAAGAGAUCAUUCUCGCGUCUGGUUAAUAGCGUUACGAGGACGCAUGACGAUAUGACUGAAGGAGAACUCAAAGACAGUUUCAAUAGACUGACAACGGAAGCAGAGAAAGUCAUGGAGGCCAAUGAUGAUCUAGAGGCCGGUUUCAUUGCAGAGCUAGAGACAAAGCUUGACACAAGUGAAGCAGUUGUGCUGACAGAACAGCAGAAAGUCGACUUAGCAAAGACUGCAAGUGAAUGUGAGUUAAAACUGAAGGAAAUAAAAACUCUAGUCAGAGAGACUCUCUGGGCCAACUUUGGAAGUGCAGAAUUGUCCACAGCACUACAGGCAGCAGAGGCUGAGUGUGAACAUGUUGCUGCCAUUAAGCCUAACGGUAAUUAUGAAGUGUAUGAUCUCGUACUUGGCCACCUGAAAGAACUGGUGGGAGUGGCAAAGGAGAGCUAUAGCAAGUGGAAGCAUUGGAUCCCAUCGAGUGUCCGGAGGGACCUUCAAAGCAAUCUACAGAGGCUGGAACUCUGCAUCCCCAGGCUGGUUUCCAGAAAAGCUGACUUUCUGGAGAUGAGAAUAAAGGCGGAUGCUGAUCACCUGACGUCAUUGCCAGCUACCUCCAGCUGCCC
Oreochromis aureus is the source of this 1100-nucleotide long non-coding RNA. The record is from Ensembl. NCBI's taxonomy places the organism in Eukaryota, Metazoa, Chordata, Actinopteri, Cichliformes, Cichlidae.